RNAcentral lists this non-coding RNA (68 nucleotides) under uncultured Dielma sp. Lineage: Bacteria; Bacillati; Bacillota; Erysipelotrichia; Erysipelotrichales; Erysipelotrichaceae. The record is from RNAcentral.
CAGGGGUGCUGAAAAGCUGAGAGAGUCCCUUUGACCUGAUCUAGUUAGUACUAGCGUAGGGAGUCAAU